Molecule: ribosomal RNA, 554 nt
Filed under: uncultured bacterium
Lineage: Bacteria
Description: partial 16S ribosomal RNA
Rfam family: Bacterial small subunit ribosomal RNA
Source: RNAcentral
UGGGGAAUAUUGCACAAUGGGCGAAAGCCUGAUGCAGCAACGCCGCGUGAGUGAUGAAGGUCUUCGGAUUGUAAAGCUCUGUCUUUUGGGACGAUAAUGACGGUACCAAAGGAGGAAGCCACGGCUAACUACGUGCCAGCAGCCGCGGUAAUACGUAGGUGGCGAGCGUUGUCCGGAUUUACUGGGCGUAAAGGGUGCGUAGGCGGAUGUUUAAGUGAGAUGUGAAAUACCCGGGCUUAACUUGGGUGCUGCAUUUCAAACUGGAUAUCUAGAGUGCAGGAGAGGAGAAUGGAAUUCCUAGUGUAGCGGUGAAAUGCGUAGAGAUUAGGAAGAACACCAGUGGCGAAGGCGAUUCUCUGGACUGUAACUGACGCUGAGGCACGAAAGCGUGGGUAGCAAACAGGAUUAGAUACCCUGGUAGUCCACGCCGUAAACGAUGAGUACUAGGUGUAGGAGGUAUCGACCCCUUCUGUGCCGCAGUAAACACAUUAAGUACUCCGCCUGGGAAGUACGAUCGCAAGAUUAAAACUCUAAGUGAAUUGACGGGGGUCAUA